GAGAGGUGGCAGAUUGGUCGAAUGUACCUGACUCGAACUCAGGCGAUGUCGCAGGGCAUUCGUGGGUUCGAAUCCAACGCUCUCCG
Molecule: transfer RNA, 86 nt
Filed under: Sulfuritalea sp.
Lineage: Bacteria; Pseudomonadati; Pseudomonadota; Betaproteobacteria; Nitrosomonadales; Sterolibacteriaceae
Description: tRNA-Ser
Rfam family: tRNA
About the family: Transfer RNA (tRNA) molecules are approximately 80 nucleotides in length. Their secondary structure includes four short double-helical elements and three loops (D, anti-codon, and T loops). Further hydrogen bonds mediate the characteristic L-shaped molecular structure. tRNAs have two regions of fundamental functional importance: the anti-codon, which is responsible for specific mRNA codon recognition, and the 3' end, to which the tRNAs corresponding amino acid is attached (by aminoacyl-tRNA synthetases). tRNAs cope with the degeneracy of the genetic code in two manners: having more than one tRNA (with a specific anti-codon) for a particular amino acid; and 'wobble' base-pairing, i.e. permitting non-standard base-pairing at the 3rd anti-codon position.
Source: RNAcentral